UCAAGUAAUUAAGUGCAUGUGGUGGAUGCCUUGGCAGUCAGAGGCGAUGAAAGACGUGAUAGCCUGCGAAAAGCUCCGGGGAGGCGGCAAAUAUCCUUUGAUCCGGAGAUGUCUGAAUGGGGGAACCCACCUACUUUAAGGUAGGUAUUGCAACAUGAAUACAUAGUGUUGCAAGGCGAACGAGGGGAAGUGAAACAUCUCAGUACCCUUAGGAAAAGAAAUCAAUUGAGAUUCCCUCAGUAGCGGCGAGCGAACGGGGAUCAGCCCAUUAAGUUAUGUGUGUUUUAGUGGAACGCUCUGGGAAGUGCGAACGUAGAGGGUGAUAUUCCCGUACACGAAAGGGCACACAUAAUGAUGACGAGUAGGGCGAGGCACGUGAAACCUUGUCUGAAUAUGGGGGGACCAUCCUCCAAGGCUAAAUACUCCUGACUGACCGAUAGUGAACCAGUACCGUGAGGGAAAGGCGAAAAGAACCCCUGUGAGGGGAGUGAAAUAGAUCCUGAAACCGCAUGCAUACAAGCAGUGGGAGCACCUUCGUGGUGUGACUGCGUACCUUUUGUAUAAUGGGUCAGCGACUUAUAUUCAGUAGCGAGGUUAACCGUAUAGGGGAGCCGUAGAGAAAUCGAGUCUUAAUAGGGCGUUUAGUUGCUGGGUAUAGACCCGAAACCAGGCGAUCUAUCCAUGAGCAGGUUGAAGGUUGGGUAACACUAACUGGAGGACCGAACCCACUGUCGUUGAAAAGCCAGGGGAUGACUUGUGGAUAGGGGUGAAAGGCUAAUCAAGCCUGGUGAUAGCUGGUUCUCCCCGAAAGCUAUUUAGGUAGCGCCUCGGACGAAUACCAUAGGGGGUAGAGCACUGUUUCGGCUAGGGGGUCAUCCCGACUUACCAAACCGAUGCAAACUCCGAAUACCUAUGAGUACUAUCCGGGAGACAGACUGCGGGUGCUAACGUCCGUAGUCAAGAGGAAAACAAUCCAGACCGCCAGCUAAGGCCCCAAAAUCAUAGUUAAGUGGGAAACGAUGUGGGAAGGCAUAGACAGCUAGGAGGUUGGCUUAGAAGCAGCCACCCUUUAAAGAAAGCGUAAUAGCUCACUAGUCGAGUCGGCCUGCGCGGAAGAUGUAACGGGGCUAAAACUAUGUGCCGAAGCUGCGGAUGUAUACUUUGUAUACGUGGUAGGGGAGCGUUCUGUAAGCCGAUGAAGGUGUGUUGAGAAGCAUGCUGGAGGUAUCAGAAGUGCGAAUGCUGACGUGAGUAACGACAAAACGGGUGAAAAACCCGUUCGCCGAAAGACCAAGGGUUCCAGUCCAACGUUAAUCGGGGCUGGGUGAGUCGACCCCUAAGGCGAGGCCGAAAGGCGUAGUCGAUGGGAAAAUGGUUAAUAUUCCAUUACUUCUGUGUAAUGCGAUGAGAGGACGGAGAAGGCUAAAUCAGCCUGGCGUUGGUUGUCCAGGUGAAAGGAAGUAGGCAUGUAUCUUAGGCAAAUCCGGGGUACUCUAUGCUGAGAUCUGAUAGCAAGCUGUACUUGUACAGCGAAGUGGUUGAUGCCAUGCUUCCAGGAAAAGUCUCUAAGCUUCAGUUACACAGGAAUCGUACCCGAAACCGACACAGGUGGUCAGGUCGAGUAGACCAAGGCGCUUGAGAGAACUCUGCUGAAGGAACUAGGCAAAAUGGUACCGUAACUUCGGGAGAAGGUACGCUGUUGUUGGUGAUGGAACUCGCUUCCUGAGCUGACGACAGCCGCAGAAACCAGGCCGCUGCAACUGUUUAUUAAAAACAUAGCACUCUGCAAACACGAAAGUGGACGUAUAGGGUGUGAUGCCUGCCCGGUGCUGGAAGGUUAAUUGAUGGGGUUAGCGUAAGCGAAGCUCUUGAUCGAAGCCCCAGUAAACGGCGGCCGUAACUAUAACGGUCCUAAGGUAGCGAAAUUCCUUGUCGGGUAAGUUCCGACCUGCACGAAUGGCAUAAUGAUGGCGGCGCUGUCUCCAGCAGAGGCUCAGUGAAAUCGAAAUCGCUGUGAAGAUGCAGUGUACCCGCGGCUAGACGGAAAGACCCCGUGAACCUUUACUGCAGCUUGACACUGAACUUUGACCUUACUUGUGUAGGAUAGGUGGGAGGCUUUGAAGCUGGAACGCUAGUUCCAGUGGAGCCGUCCUUGAAAUACCACCCUGGUAAUGUUGAGGUUCUAACUCUGUCCCGUGAUCCGGGACGAGGACCGUGUCUGGUGGGUAGUUUGACUGGGGCGGUCUCCUCCUAAAGAGUAACGGAGGAGUACGAAGGUGCGCUCAGCGUGGUCGGAAAUCACGCGUAGAGUAUAAAGGCAAAAGCGCGCUUAACUGCGAGACCCACAAGUCGAGCAGGUACGAAAGUAGGUCUUAGUGAUCCGGUGGUUCUGUAUGGAAGGGCCAUCGCUCAACGGAUAAAAGGUACUCUGGGGAUAACAGGCUGAUACCGCCCAAGAGUUCAUAUCGACGGCGGUGUUUGGCACCUCGAUGUCGGCUCAUCUCAUCCUGGGGCUGAAGCAGGUCCCAAGGGUAUGGCUGUUCGCCAUUUAAAGAGGUACGCGAGCUGGGUUUAGAACGUCGUGAGACAGUUCGGUCCCUAUCUACCGUGGGCGCUGGAAAUUUGAGAGGAUCUGCUCCUAGUACGAGAGGACCAGAGUGGACGAACCUCUGGUGUACCGGUUGUGACGCCAGUCGCAUCGCCGGGUAGCUAUGUUCGGAAGGGAUAACCGCUGAAAGCAUCUAAGCGGGAAGCCUACCUCAAGAUAAGAUUUCCCUAGGACUUUAUGUCCUCUAAAGAGCCGUUCGAGACUAGGACGUUGAUAGGUUGGAUGUGGAAGCAUAGUGAUAUGUGAAGCUGACCAAUACUAAUUGCUCGUGAGGCUUGACUAU
This 2891-nucleotide ribosomal RNA is filed under the name Acinetobacter baumannii. Its description in RNAcentral is "bacterial LSU rRNA". It matches the Rfam family "Bacterial large subunit ribosomal RNA". Lineage: Bacteria; Pseudomonadati; Pseudomonadota; Gammaproteobacteria; Moraxellales; Moraxellaceae. RNAcentral also lists the same sequence under 2 other names. The record is from RNAcentral.